Molecule: ribosomal RNA, 404 nt
Filed under: uncultured bacterium
Lineage: Bacteria
Description: bacterial SSU rRNA
Rfam family: Bacterial small subunit ribosomal RNA
Source: RNAcentral
UGGGGAAUAUUGGACAAUGGGGGCAACCCUGAUCCAGCAAUGCCGCGUGUGUGAUGAAGGCCCUAGGGUUGUAAAGCACUUUCGCCGAUGACGAUGAUGACGGUAGUCGGAUAAGAAGCCCCGGCUAACUCCGUGCCAGCAGCCGCGGUAAUACGGAGGGGGCGAGCGUUGUUCGGAAUUACUGGGCGUAAAGGGCGCGUAGGCGGCCAUGUCAGUUGGGAGUGAAAGCCCCGGGCUCAACCUGGGAACUGCUCUCAAUACUGCGUGGCUUGAGAACGGGAGAGGGUAGUGGAAUUCCCAGUGUAGAGGUGAAAUUCGUAGAUAUUGGGAAGAACACCAGUGGCGAAGGCGGCUGCCUGGCCCGUUUCUGACGCUGAGGCGCGAAAGCGUGGGGAGCAAACAGG